CAUGGAAAUAUUUCUCUGAGCUUUUCUGCCAUGAAUCCUACAUGAAGAAGGCCUUUGAUUCUCACAGGGGAAAAUCCAUUUUGCCAGAGAGCAAACUCUCUCAGCUCUCUAACUAUGCAUCUAGUCUCCAUCACUCUAAGUCAUGCACAUGAGAAGGUCUGGGAGAAAAAUUUGGCAGAUAUACCAGUUAAAAAGGCAGAUAUAACAUUCAUCAAGAGAUUAGCCCUGAGCUAACAUCUGCCGCCAACACUACUUUUUUGCUGAGGAAGACUGGCCCUGAGCUAACAUCCAUGCCCAUCUUCCUCUACUUUAUAUGUGAGACACCUGCCACAGCAUGGCUCCACAAGCAGUGCAGGUCUGCACCAGGGAUCUCAACCAGUGAACUCCGGGCCACCAAAGUGGAAUGUGCGAACUUAACCACUGUGCCACUGUGCUGGCCCUUCUUUAACAUUUCAUGUCUUUCUUUUUUCAAAAUGUUAU
This 480-nucleotide long non-coding RNA is filed under the name Equus caballus (horse). Its description in RNAcentral is "lncRNA (ENSECAG00000055279.1)". Lineage: Eukaryota; Metazoa; Chordata; Mammalia; Perissodactyla; Equidae. The record is from RNAcentral.